CCUACGGGUGGCAGCAGUGAGGAAUAUUGGUCAAUGGGCGUAAGCCUGAACCAGCCAAGUCGCGUGAGGGAUGAAGGUCCUAUGGAUCGUAAACCUCUUUUAUAAGGGAGUAAAGUCCGGGACGUGUCUCGUUUCGUAUGUACCUUAUGAAAAAGGAACGGCUAACCCCGUGCCAGCAGCCGCGGUUAGACGGAGGGUCGGAGGGUUAUCCGGAUUUAUUGGGUUUAAAGGGUGCGUAGGCGGGCUUUUAAGUCAGCGGUGAAAGUCUGUGGCUCAACCAUAGAAUUGCCGUUGAAACUGGGAGGCUUGAGUAUGUUAGAGGCAUGCGGAAUGCGUGGUGUAGCGGUGAAAUGCUUAGAUAUCACGCAGAACCCCGAUUGCGAAGGCAGCCUGCCGGGCCAUAACUGACGCUGAUGCACGAAAGCGUGGGGAUCAAACAGGAUUAGAUACCCCUGUAGUC
This 460-nucleotide ribosomal RNA is filed under the name uncultured bacterium. Its description in RNAcentral is "partial 16S ribosomal RNA". It matches the Rfam family "Bacterial small subunit ribosomal RNA", at positions 338 to 795 of the family's 1533-position model. The record is from RNAcentral.